Molecule: ribosomal RNA, 605 nt
Filed under: Gymnoloma sp. 'nigra' DA-2011
Lineage: Eukaryota; Metazoa; Arthropoda; Insecta; Coleoptera; Scarabaeidae
Description: partial 16S large subunit ribosomal RNA
Rfam family: Bacterial large subunit ribosomal RNA
Source: RNAcentral
UUUAAAGUCUAACCUGCCCAAUGGAAGUUAAAUGGCUGCGGUAAUUUGACCGUGCAAAGGUAGCAUAAUCAUUAGUUUUUUAAUUGAAAGCUGGUAUGAAUGGUUGGACGAGAAAAAUACUGUCUCGGGUUAAAUUUAUUAGAAUUUUAUUUUUAAGUUAAAAAGCUUAGAUGUAGUUAAAAGACGAGAAGACCCUAUAGAGUUUUAUAUUUAUUUUAAUAGUUAAAAUUAUUUAUUUUUAUUAUUAUUUAAAGUAUUUUAUUGGGGCGAUGUAAAAAUUGAAUUAACUUUUUAUGUUUAUAUUACAUUUAUAUAUGUUUAUUUGAUCCAUUAUUUAUGAUUGUAAGAUUAAAUUACCUUAGGGAUAACAGCGUAAUAUUUUUUAAGAGUUCAUAUCGAAAAAAAAGAUUGCGACCUCGAUGUUGGAUUAAAAUUUACUUUUGGUGUAGAAGUUAAAAAGUUAGGUCUGUUCGACCUUUAAAAUUUUACAUGAUCUGAGUUUAAACCGGUGUGAGCCAGGUUGGUUUCUAUCUUUAAUAUAAUAAUAUAAUAUAGUACGAAAGGAUUUAUUAUAUAUAAAAUUUAUUUAAGUUUGAAUAAUAAUA